CGCGGAGCCACAGCCCGACGCACGGACGGAGGGACGCCGGAGCCCGCCUGACCAUGUGGAAGCUGGGCCGGGGCCGAGUGCUGCUGGACGAGCCCCCCGAGGAGGAGGACGGCCUGCGUGGGGGGCCGCCACCGGCCGCCGCCGCCGCCGCCCAGGCGCAGGUUCAGGGAGCAAGUUUCCGAGGUUGGAAAGAAGUGACUUCACUGUUUAACAAAGAUGAUGAGCAGCAUCUCCUGGAAAGAUGUAAAUCUCCCAAGUCCAAAGGGUCGAUGUAUGUACUUGGCCACAAGGAGAGCUAGCUUCCUUCUGAUGUGUCGUGGCUUUCUAUAAUCCUACUGCACACAAAGCACAGUGACCAUCUAUUUUUGGCUAGACUGAGCUAAUUCCAUGAGUUUGGUUCUCAAAAUCACCUGACCUCUGUGGAGAGUGGAGCGUAGGGAGAGGUGACUGGGGCACCCGUGCCUUGACACCCCACUUUCUUCUCCUGCUCCCCUAUAAUGUCCUCGCUAUGGAAGCACCUUCCUGGGACUUCAGAAUGGAAACUGCUGCAGGGCCCUUCUCAUGCAUCCCAGUGGGCAGCACGAGCAUGGACCGCCAGUGAUGCACUCCAAGCCACUUCACCUCAAGCAUCCUAUGCAUCUGCCAGACACGAGUGGGGCCUCAACACUGCUUGACAGUUUGUGAAGUGCUCUAACAUUCUGGACAUGAAGCUUUCAUGGACUGCACUAGUGUGCUGUCCUGCCCUGUCUGUACACACGUUUUUUGCUCCUACAGCUGAUGGGACCCACGCAUAGGGCAGAUGUCAGCCCUGUUGUAGGCUAUGGAGCUGCACAGUCCAAGAGACAUCACUUCCCCAGCAGCCAGCAUGGUCCCCGCAGGCUCUCAGUAAACGUCUUUGCUCAUU
This 904-nucleotide long non-coding RNA is filed under the name Homo sapiens (human). RNAcentral describes it as "long non-coding RNA NONHSAT216682.1". The record is from RNAcentral. Lineage: Eukaryota; Metazoa; Chordata; Mammalia; Primates; Hominidae.